GAUGAAGAACGUAGCGAAAUGCGAUACUUGGUGUGAAUUGCAGAAUCCCGUGAACCAUCGAGUCUUUGAACGCAAGUUGCGCCCGAAGCCAUUAGGCCGAGGGCACGCCUGCCUGGGCGUCACACGUCGUUGCCCCCCCAUCUACUCCUUCGGGAUUGCGGGGGGCGGAUGAUGGCCUCCCGUGCGCCUCGCCGCGCGGUUGGCAUAAAUGCCAAGUCCUCGGCGACGCACGCCACGACAAUCGGUGGUUGCGAAACCUCGGUUGCCCGUCGUGUGCGGGCGUCGCGCAUCGAGGGCUCGAAAAAAUUGCCGGGUUCCGGCUCGGCUUUCAACGCGACCCCAGGUCAGGCGGGGUUACCCGCUGAAUUUAAGCAUAUCAAUAAGCGGAGGA
RNAcentral lists this unclassified non-coding RNA (391 nucleotides) under soil metagenome. RNAcentral's name for it is "partial contains 5.8S ribosomal RNA, internal transcribed spacer 2, and large subunit ribosomal RNA". The stretch from base 1 to 122 matches the Rfam family "5.8S ribosomal RNA", at positions 35 to 154 of the family's 154-position model. The record is from RNAcentral.